Molecule: long non-coding RNA, 586 nt
Organism: Gossypium arboreum
Lineage: Eukaryota; Viridiplantae; Streptophyta; Magnoliopsida; Malvales; Malvaceae
Exons: 4
Source: RefSeq, a predicted model, not a curated record
AAAAAUAUGAAUAAAAGAAAAGAAACAAAUAGAGUAGCGGGGAAAGAAAAAGGAAAGAGAAACAAAAUUAAAGCUUCAUCUCUUUUGCAUGCCGAUUGGGAGAAGAAAAAGAAUAGAUCGAGCAUCAACCGUGGCAAGGAAAAGAUUACUAAGAAGACGUCUUCAAUUCGUAGCAUCUGUCGUAUUUUGCGCUAGGUGCAAACUAUUCCACGAUUUAUCCGCUACGCAUCAGGUGUCAUGUAUCGAUUGGACUAUACAUCAAAGUUAUAUGAACCAUUGAAAAAGGUACCCUCUUUUGAUCACUGACUCAGCAUCCAACAACAAUCCCAAUCUCAAGUGAGGUGAUGUUUAAUUUUGUAAUGGCAUAUACCUAGGGUGUCUUUGGUUGUUAGUUGUUUUGUGAAUGUGGUGUAAUUUGAGUUAUAAGUAUAUGUUUAUAUUUGAAGCUAAAUUUUAGUAUGUGUUUUGACCAAAGGCUUGAUAUGUGUAUGAAACUUAAAGCUUGAUGUCUUAAGUAGCUUUAUGUUAAGCUAAAUUGAGUGAUUUUGACAUACUUUAAACUUUGAUUUGGAUAAUGCAUUGUUGA